AUUGAACGCUGGCGGCAUGCUUUACACAUGCAAGUCGAACGGCAGCGCGGGCUUCGGCCUGGCGGCGAGUGGCGAACGGGUGAGUAAUACAUCGGAACGUGCCCAGUAGUGGGGGAUAGCUCGGCGAAAGCCGGAUUAAUACCGCAUACGACCUGAGGGUGAAAGCGGGGGAUCUUCGGACCUCGCGCUAUUGGAGCGGCCGAUGGCAGAUUAGCUAGUUGGUGGGGUAAAGGCCUACCAAGGCGACGAUCUGUAGCUGGUCUGAAAGGACGACCAGCCACACUGGGACUGAGACACGGCCCAGACUCCUACGGGAGGCAGCAGUGGGGAAUUUUGGACAAUGGGCGAAAGCCUGAUCCAGCAAUGCCGCGUGUGUGAUGAAGGCCUUCGGGUUGUAAAGCACUUUUGGCGGGAACGAAAAGGACUGUGCCAAUACCACGGUUCGAUGACGGCACCCGCAGAAUAAGCACCGGCUAACUACGUG
This 484-nucleotide ribosomal RNA is filed under the name uncultured bacterium. RNAcentral's name for it is "partial 16S ribosomal RNA". It matches the Rfam family "Bacterial small subunit ribosomal RNA", at positions 29 to 507 of the family's 1533-position model. The record is from RNAcentral.